UCCGGCUUAUCACCGGCAGUUUCCUUAGAGUGCUCAGCUUAACCUGUUAGUAACUAAGGAUGAGGGUUGCGCUCGUUGCGGGACUUAACCCAACAUCUCACGACACGAGCUGACGACAGCCAUGCAACACCUGUGAUGACCCGGCCGAACCGACUCCUAAGAUUCCCUAGGAUAUAAUCACCAUGUCAAGGUCUGGUAAGGUUUUUCGCGUAGCAUCGAAUUAAACCACAUGUUCCACCGCUUGUGCGGGUCCCCGUCAAUUCCGUUUGAGUUUUAAUCUUGCGACCGUACUUCCCAGGCGGAGUGCUUAUCGCGUUAGCUUAGACACUGAGAAUAAAUCCCAAUAUCGAGCACUCAUCGUUUAGGGCGUGGACUAC
This 377-nucleotide unclassified non-coding RNA is filed under the name uncultured Candidatus Midichloriaceae bacterium. RNAcentral's name for it is "contains 16S-23S intergenic spacer region". The record is from RNAcentral. Lineage: Bacteria; Pseudomonadati; Pseudomonadota; Alphaproteobacteria; Rickettsiales; Candidatus Midichloriaceae.